RNAcentral lists this ribosomal RNA (437 nucleotides) under uncultured bacterium. RNAcentral describes it as "bacterial SSU rRNA". It matches the Rfam family "Bacterial small subunit ribosomal RNA", at positions 954 to 1392 of the family's 1533-position model. The record is from RNAcentral.
AUGGGAACGCGAAGAACCUUACCUAGACUUGACAUCUUCUGCAUUAAUCGUAAUGGAUGAAAUCCCUUCGGGGACAGAAUGACAGGUGGUGCAUGGUUGUCGUCAGCUCGUGUCGUGAGAUGUUGGGUUAAGUCCCGCAACGAGCGCAACCCCUAUUAUUAGUUGCUAACAUUAAGUUGAGCACUCUAGUGAGACUGCCCGGGUUAACCGGGAGGAAGGUGGGGAUGACGUCAAAUCAUCAUGCCCCUUAUGUCUAGGGCUACACACGUGCUACAAUGGUGGGAACAAAGAGAUGCAAGACCGCGAGGUGGAGCUAAACUCAAAACCCCAUCCCAGUUCGGAUUGUAGGCUGAAACUCGCCUACAUGAAGCUGGAGUUGCUAGUAAUCGCGAAUCAGAAUGUCGCGGUGAAUACGUUCCCGGGUCUUGUACACACCG